RNAcentral lists this ribosomal RNA (443 nucleotides) under uncultured bacterium. RNAcentral's name for it is "partial 16S ribosomal RNA". It matches the Rfam family "Bacterial small subunit ribosomal RNA", at positions 338 to 795 of the family's 1533-position model. The record is from RNAcentral.
CCUACGGGAGGCAGCAGUGGGGAAUAUUGGGCAAUGGGCGCAAGCCUGACCCAGCAACGCCGCGUGAAGGAAGAAGGCUUUCGGGUUGUAAACUUCUUUUCUCAGGGACGAAGCAAGUGACGGUACCUGCGGAAUAAGCCACGGCUAACUACGUGCCAGCAGCCGCGGUAAUACGUAGGUGGCAAGCGUUAUCCGGAUUUACUGGGUGUAAAGGGCGUGUAGGCGGGAAAGAAAGUCAGAUGUGAAAACCAUGGGCUCAACCUGUGGCCUGCAUUUGAAACUGUUUUUCUUGAGUACUGGAGAGGCAGACGGAAGUCCUAGUGUAGCGGUGAAAUGCGUAGAUAGUAGGAGGAACACCAGUGGCGAAGGCGGUCUGCUGGACAGCAACUGACGCUGAGGCGCGAAAGCGUGGGGAGCAAACAGGAUUAGAUACCCCAGUAGUC